Molecule: unclassified non-coding RNA, 498 nt
Filed under: Plagiobothrys cusickii
Lineage: Eukaryota; Viridiplantae; Streptophyta; Magnoliopsida; Boraginales; Boraginaceae
Description: partial external transcribed spacer
Source: RNAcentral
GUCUGUUGUCGNCUCGGGGGCUGGUAUUGCAGAACGUGUAGGUGCAUGAGUGGUGUUUUGCUUGUGUUGGUUGGUUGGAUCCUUGCUCUGGCAACGACGUCCAUCCUCGCAUGCAUCUUCAGUCGGGUCUCGUGAUACGUGUUAUCUCGAGCUAUGGAUCGGUUUCCUGUGUUGCGUACCUCUAAAGAUGGCAAUCGGUAGUCCCAACGUCCCACUUCGCCUUGCGUUGUCCCUUUCCGGGGGCGACGCGGGGUGAACCAUGAAGCAAUCUCUGCGUCCCACUCUGCGCACAUUAGGUUGUGGUCGUGGAUUGGUCCGCAGGGCAUUCGCUUGAGCUCUCGGAUGCGGUGCAUUAUACGCGGGCAUGAGGACUCACGUCCUCUAUUUGCCCGAAAUAAAGCUUUCAUCGCUUAGUUGCGAACGAUUGCGAUCCCCGUUUCUAGCCCCCGGGCGAGUGCGGCGGUCGCUUCGUUGAGGAAUGCUACCUGGUUGAUCCAG